RNAcentral lists this ribosomal RNA (467 nucleotides) under uncultured bacterium. RNAcentral describes it as "partial 16S ribosomal RNA". It matches the Rfam family "Bacterial small subunit ribosomal RNA", at positions 28 to 507 of the family's 1533-position model. The record is from RNAcentral.
GACGAACGCUGGCGGCGUGCUUAACACAUGCAAGUCGAACGGACAGGCCCUGCUUUUGUGGGGUGCUCGAGUGGCGAACGGGUGAGUAACACGUGAGUAACCUGCCCUUGACUUUGGGAUAACUUCAGGAAACUGGGGCUAAUACCGGAUAGGAUCUCCUACUGCAUGGCGGGGGAUGGAAAGUUGGGGCGGUGGGGGAGGGACUCGGGGCUUAUCAGCUUGUUGGUGGGGUAGUUGGUUACCAUGGCUGGGACGGAUAGCCGGCCUGGGAGGGGGACCGGCCACGUCGGGAAUGAGAUGCGGCCCAGGGGCCUCCGGGGGGAAGGAGGGGGGACUAAUGCAGAAUGGGCGGGUGAGUGAAGCAGCCACUCGGGGUGCGAGACGCCGGUCUUCGGGUAGAAACCGCUUCCUCCUGAUACGAAGCGUGCGUGACGGUACUGGGUAAAGAAGCACCGGCUAACUACGUG